RNAcentral lists this long non-coding RNA (227 nucleotides) under Manihot esculenta (cassava). RNAcentral's name for it is "long non-coding RNA (MESC_LNC000307)". Lineage: Eukaryota; Viridiplantae; Streptophyta; Magnoliopsida; Malpighiales; Euphorbiaceae. The record is from RNAcentral.
GCCGGACUCUUAUGUGGAGAGGUCUUGGGUUCGAGUGGUGGGGGAGGCGACCUGAUAUUCCUAUGUGGGGAAUAUUGGGCCAAAUCCCAUUGGCCUCGUGAGGUCUUGGGACAAAUCCUGCCCGGCGGUUGUGAGGCCAAUGGGAUGGAUCACGGGAGGGUCGGACUUCAGGCUCUGGGCCGUGUGGGCUCGGGAGAUGGGAGAGGGACCCCCGUGACAUAAAAAGG